GGCUGGUUAGCUCAGUCAGUUGAGCGUGGUGCUGACAAUGCCAAGGUCGCGGGUUUGAUUUCCGUUCGGUCC
Molecule: transfer RNA, 72 nt
Filed under: Apaloderma vittatum (bar-tailed trogon)
Lineage: Eukaryota; Metazoa; Chordata; Aves; Trogoniformes; Trogonidae
Rfam family: tRNA
About the family: Transfer RNA (tRNA) molecules are approximately 80 nucleotides in length.
Source: Rfam by way of RNAcentral